Nerophis ophidion (straightnose pipefish) is the source of this 1867-nucleotide long non-coding RNA. RefSeq lists it as uncharacterized. The transcript is spliced from 2 exons. The record is from RefSeq and is a predicted model, not a curated record. Lineage: Eukaryota; Metazoa; Chordata; Actinopteri; Syngnathiformes; Syngnathidae.
UAAGCAAACAUUGAUUGAUUGAUUGAUUGAUUCCUUUCUGACAUGUUGCUUUUGUUUAGGCUGGCAGAGGUUCUGUACCCUCCGAUUCCUCGCCCUCCGUUGAAGUACAAACAUUUCCUGGAAGACAGCAACAUAAUCAAAUAAAGUUCUAUCACCCAGCUUUGUCGGGGAAGUGCGAGGAGAAGAUCACAGUCGUGGAGGAAAGCGAGCAAAGGACAUUUUAACACAUCAGUCGUACAAUUAUAUUGAAAUGUGACCCAAUUCUGUCUGCAACUCUGAAAAUGUAAAAUGUUAAUAUUUGCUGACGUGUUCACUGCAAUAAGGCACUUUUGGUAGCUUCUGCUUGAAUUUUUGACCACUCCUCUUGACAAAAUAGGUGUGGUUCAGCUAAAUGUGUUGCUUUUCCAACAUGGACUUGUUUCUUCAGCAUUGUCCACACAUUUAAGUCAAAACUAUGUGAAGGCCGUUCUAAAACCUUCAUUCUAGCCAUUAAUAUAGCCAUUCCUUUACCACUUUUGACCUGUGUUUAGGGUCAUUGCCCAAGCCCCAAAAUCCGAGUUGAUGAUUUUAGGUUGUCCGGAAAAUUUGGGGGUAAUCCUCCUUUUUACUCUCUGUAAAGCACCAGUUCCAUUGGCAGCGAAACAGGCCCAGAGCAUAAAACUACCACCACUAUGCUUGGCAGUAGGGAUUGUGUUCCUGGAAUUAAAGGCCUUCGGCUGCCGCCCAGCUCACAUUGCACCCGACCUCUAUGGCCCCUGCUAUGGGUGGUGAGCCCAUUGGAGGGGGGACCCACGUUGCCUCUUCGGGCUGGGAACAGGUCCGGCCACCAGGCGCUCGCCAUCGUCCGGGCCUGGCUCCAGAGGGGGGCCCCGGUGACCCGCGUCCGGGCGAGGGAAAUCUGGGUCCAUGUUUUAUCUUCUUCAUAGAGGUCUUCGAGCUGCUCUUUGUCUGAUCCCUCACCUAGAACCUGUUUGCCUUGGGAGACCCUACCAGGGGGCAUAAAGCCCCCGGACAACAUAGCUCCUAGGAUCAUUGGGACACGCAAACUCCUCUACCACGAUAAGGUGGCAGCUCAGAGAGGAGUAGAAUCAGCACCUCCAAGUCCGAGUCCAUGGUUCUCGCCCGGAAAAGGGUGGAGUGCCAUCUCCGGGUUGGGGAGGAGACCCUGCCCCAAGUGGAGGAGUUCAAGUAUCUAGGAGUCUUGUUCACGAGUGAGGGAAGAGUGGAUGGUGAGAUCGACAGGCGGAUCGGUGCGGCGUCUUCAGUAAUGCGGACGUUGUACCGAUCCAUUGUGGUGAAGAAGGAGCUGAGCCGGAAGGCAAAGCUCUCAAUUUACCGGUCGAUCUACGUUCCCGUCCUCACCUAUGGUCAUGAGCUUUGGGUCAUGACCGAAAGGAUAAGAUCACGGGUACAAGCGGCCAAAAUGAGUUUCCUCUCCCUUAGAGAUAGGGUGAGAAGCUCUGCCAUCCGGGAGGAACUCAAAGUAAAGCCGCUGCUCCUUCACAUCAAGAGGAGCCAGAUGAGGUGGUUCGGGCAUCUGGUCAGGAUGCCACCCGAAGACUAUGUCUCCCGGCUGGCCUGGGAACGCCUCGGGAUCCCCCGGGAAGAGCUAGACGAAGUGGCUGGGGAGAGGGAAGUCUGGGUUUCCCUGCUUAGGCUGCUGCCCCCGCGACCCGACAUCGGAUAAGCGGAAGAAGAUGGAUGGAUGGAUGGAUGGAAUUAAAGGCCUCACCUUUUCUCCUCCAAAUAUAUUGCUGGGAAUUCUCAAUUUUUGACAUCACAUGGACAAAGAAAAGACCUUCUGGAAGAAAGUUCUGUGGUCAGAUGAAACAAAAAUGAAGAUGUUUGAAUAAAAUAGAAGAAUCGA